This 305-nucleotide ribosomal RNA is filed under the name uncultured Smithella sp. RNAcentral describes it as "bacterial SSU rRNA". It matches the Rfam family "Bacterial small subunit ribosomal RNA", at positions 1075 to 1382 of the family's 1533-position model. Lineage: Bacteria; Pseudomonadati; Thermodesulfobacteriota; Syntrophia; Syntrophales; Smithellaceae. The record is from RNAcentral.
UUGGGUUAAGUCCCGCAACGAGCGCAACCCUUAUCUUAAUUGCCAGCAUUCAGUUGGGCACUUUAAAGAGACUGCCGGUGUUAAACCGGAGGAAGGUGGGGAUGACGUCAAGUCCUCAUGGCCUUUAUGCUUAGGGCUACACACGUGCUACAAUGGGUGGUACAAAGAGAAGCCAACUCGCGAGAGCGCGCCAAUCUCAAAAAGCCAUCCUCAGUUCGGAUUGGAGUCUGCAACUCGACUCCAUGAAGUUGGAAUCGCUAGUAAUCGCGGAUCAGCAUGCCGCGGUGAAUACGUUCCCGGGCCUU